CUUGAAUUUUACAACCCCCCCCUAGGGGGUCAUGAUUUGAACAAACUUGAAUCUACACUACCUGAGGAUGAUUCCCAAUAAAUAUAACGAAGCCUGGCUUUGAAGUACUUGAAAAGAAGAUUUUAAAAGAUUUUUCCUAUAUAUUCCUUUGUAAAACCUAGAUCGGCCAUUUUGGCCCCACCCAACCCCCGGGGGUCAUGAUUUGAACAAACUUGAAUCUACACUACCUGAGGAUGAUUCCACAUGCGUUUCAUCUUUCCUGGCCCAGUGGUUCUUGAGAAGAAGAUUUUUAAAGAUUUUCCCUAUAUAUUCCUAUGUAAAACUUUGAUCGGCCAUUUUGGCCCCACCCUACCCCCGGGGGUCAUGAUUUGAACAAACUUGAA
Saccostrea cuccullata (small rock oyster) is the source of this 383-nucleotide long non-coding RNA. RefSeq lists it as uncharacterized. Lineage: Eukaryota; Metazoa; Mollusca; Bivalvia; Ostreida; Ostreidae. The transcript has 2 exons. The record is from RefSeq and is a predicted model, not a curated record.